AGCCUAAAGUAUCUUUUUAGGUGAAGCCUGCCCGGUGUGUGGAAGCAUUAACGGCCGCGGUACCUUGACCGUGCUAAGGUAGCGUAAUAAUUUGUCUUUUAAAUGGAGUCAAGUAUGAAUGGCUUAAUGGAAGAUAGCUGUCUCUGGGAAGUUAGUUAGAAAUUACUGUAGAGGUGAAAAAGCCUUUGUGAUAAUAAAGGAAGAGAAGACCCUUUGAAUUCUAAUAAAAAGGUCAGGAUUGGCCUUAAUUUUGGUUGGGGCGGCCCGAAAACAUAUAACUUUUUGGGAAAUUUUAAAGACAUGAAAGUUAUAUCGUGUAAGAAUGAAUUACCAUAGGGAUAACAGCAUUAUUCUUUUUAGAGAUUGUGACCUCGAUGUUGGACUAGGAAAGAAGUAGAUUAGAAGUUUACUUUUAGGGUUCUGUUCGAACCGUGUUUCUCCUACAU
Molecule: ribosomal RNA, 446 nt
Filed under: Rhodope cf. crucispiculata ZSM Mol 2016002
Lineage: Eukaryota; Metazoa; Mollusca; Gastropoda; Rhodopidae
Description: partial 16S ribosomal RNA
Rfam family: Bacterial large subunit ribosomal RNA
Source: RNAcentral